This is a long non-coding RNA of Microtus ochrogaster (prairie vole), 2118 nucleotides long. RefSeq lists it as uncharacterized. The transcript has 3 exons. The record is from RefSeq and is a predicted model, not a curated record. NCBI's taxonomy places the organism in Eukaryota, Metazoa, Chordata, Mammalia, Rodentia, Cricetidae.
CCCUGCUCCUGUCUGGAGCUCUAUCGGGCAGGUCAGGAUGUCAUUCCAGGUAUCCCCCUGCUCCUGUCUGGAGCUCUAUCAGGUAGGUCCGCAUGUCAUUCCAGGUAUCUACCGCAGGUGCCUUCCUUCAGCUGGAUGUCGGAGCUUGGUGCCGGUCCCUGGACAAAGAGAUGCUGGGGAGGUAGCAUCUCCCUACCUUGGGCUCCUCACUCUUCAUCUCUGCACCCGCAUGGAGUUUUUCCUUGAGGAAAAUAACUAAAUCACCUGUCCUUCCCAGAAGGGUGUCUGAGGUUCCAGGAGGAGACGAGCCUGGAGUAAGAACACCCCAAGAAUGGACACAGUUCUCUUCUCCCUCUCAAGGUUUUUCUUCCGCAAGAACCUAAAUCAGGUCUUCCAGCAUGUCUAUUGGCAUGGUACCAUGCUCUUCAACUGGUGGGCCAGAGUCCAGUGUGUUCUGGCUGGGAAGUCAUGUGAUGUCCCUGUGGAGGUUCAGGAGGAAGCAGGUCGCUGCUGGGCUGAGUGACAGCUUAGGAGAUGGACAUCUCUGUGCUGGCAUAGCUUGUCUCAGAGCUGGCCCUUCCCUGGGGUCAUGAGGUCAGACCUUUGCUGCUCCUUAGCGCCUCCUGGAGGCAGGGAAGGUGGCCUUCCAGGAGCCCAGUCAAUAGCCCAGAGAGUGAGCUAGGGUGGGGGUGGGGGAGUAAUUCACACACUCACAUAGUAUCCUGCACCCCAGCCGGCUCUCCAUCGUCAGCUUAGCUGGCUCCUGCCAGAUCUCAGGUGAAAGCUUACUGAGGAUUUUCUCUACAGGUUUGUGGGAGUUUGCCCAGCUGUGAGGGAAACAUCUCCAUCCUCGGACUGGUGAGAAGACCCUGUUAGCUCCAGGAUCCUCAGCUGAACCCUCAGUUAUGCUUUGAGCUACAGUCGUGUUGAUCAUGAUCCUAAACAGGCCUUUCUUAUCCCAGCGUCUUCCUUGGUCUUCCUACAUGUUGGAGUCUCGGCUCAGUCUAUGGCCGUCACUGCUCAUUCUUUCUGCCAUCUCUUCACCAAGUGCCCCUCACAGAUGACUUUCAAAGCAACCAUGGUUUUCCAUGUUGGUCUCAACAUCCUUCUUCUCUUCAGCUUCCAUCAGAAGACCUCUCCCAAGGGACACGGGAAGAGGCUGACUGAGGACCUAGGUGUCUCCAUGGAGACCUGGGUAGAGCAGCUCUCAGCUCAGCAGACCGCGCCCCCAGAGCUGCGGAUCAUCAGGAUCAUCCAGUGAAAGGAGAAUCUCUUCCCUUCUGGAGUUCAGGAGGAAUGCAGUAGAACCAGGCUUCCUACCCACUGCUCGCAAAAAUUUGUAGCUAUUUGUGUACCUCCUGCCUCUACUAGAUAGAGUCCCCUAAUGGAAGGGACUGUUGUCUUUUCAUUGGCCACUGCACUGCUCAUCGACUUCAUCGCAACAAAUGUGCCUCUAAGAUUUGGCGUCUGCAAAUAGUGGUCAUGGCCACUGGUAAAGAACAGGCCUGGGUGUGGACACAGUCAAGGAUGCCUUGCUAUCUGGCUUAUGGGAAACUUACGUGGUUUCCAAUGUGGCUGUGAACAGUUGCCCCCUCUCCCACAUAGCUUUGGGCUCACCACCCUCUGCACACAUGUCUCUGUAGUUCUCUGAUUCCAUAGUACAUGGUCAGGGGGGCAGAAAGGGGCAUAUGCAUGGAUCAGAAUUGUUUUGCCAACCUGUGGGGUUUCUUCUUUGUUCAAUUGUUUCUUCUAUAAAUAUCGGCAAAUAAAAUUAUCUAAGAUUGAUGCUUCUCCUGUCUCAGUGGGAGACACUAAGAACUCUGAAUGUAAAUUGUGCAACAAGCUUCUACCGAGGAAUAACGGGACUGGUGAGAAAUGGUUGAUCUUCAUUUAGUUCACACAUAGAAGUCUCCUGACACACACACCGUGAACACCCGAGGCAGGUGGGUUAGCUGGCCCCAAGGUCAUAAGAGCAAGAGAGCUACCACUGUCUCCCACCAGCUGCAGCACUUGGAGGAGCCGGCCCUGAGCAUCUCCAGGGCAACCCGAUAGAAUCAAGCCAACCUGUUGGGUGGAGAUGUGGAUGAGCUGGUCCAGAAGUUGUGAGCAUGGAAGAGC